AUGAAAUGCAAGGGCGCUCUUUUUAGAGGUCCGACUCUUUUCAUUUUCCUUACACUGUGAACCAGAAUUUUUACACCUUUUUUAAACGCAUUGAUUCUAAGAAUGUCACGAGUCUCUUAAUUGAGCAUAAAACUAGUA
This 138-nucleotide unclassified non-coding RNA is filed under the name uncultured Sporidiobolales. Its description in RNAcentral is "sequence contains ITS1". Lineage: Eukaryota; Fungi; Basidiomycota; Microbotryomycetes; Sporidiobolales. The record is from RNAcentral.